Molecule: long non-coding RNA, 219 nt
Filed under: Mytilus galloprovincialis (Mediterranean mussel)
Lineage: Eukaryota; Metazoa; Mollusca; Bivalvia; Mytilida; Mytilidae
Source: RNAcentral
GGACCGUUUACAAGUUAAAAGCAUAUUCUCGAAUUGAAGGGGGUAGGGAUGACCCCCCCAGGGACUCCCCUAUAUUUCAUGUGAUUUGUUUUAUUGUCCUUUAAUCAUUUCUGAAGACUGCAUGUAUCUAUCACUUACAGUUUUCAAGUUAUAUUCAUUUGAAAAUUUUAGAAAAUAAAAUCCCAUAGGGUUCUAUAGUAAACCCCUCACUUCUUUCUG